RNAcentral lists this ribosomal RNA (468 nucleotides) under uncultured bacterium. Its description in RNAcentral is "partial 16S ribosomal RNA". It matches the Rfam family "Bacterial small subunit ribosomal RNA", at positions 28 to 507 of the family's 1533-position model. The record is from RNAcentral.
GACGAACGCUGGCGGCGUGCUUAACACAUGCCAGUCGAACGGAAUGGCCCUGCUUUUGUGGGGUGCUCGAGUGGCGAACGGGUGAGUAACACGUGAGUAACCUGCCCUUGACUUUGGGAUAACUUCAGGAAACUGGGGCUAAUACCGGAUAGGAGCUCCUGCUGCAUGGUGGGGGUUGGAAAGUUUCGGCGGUUGGGGAUGGACUCGCGGCUUAUCAGCUUGUUGGUGGGGUAGUGGCUUACCAAGGCUUUGACGGGUAGCCGGCCUGAGAGGGUGACCGGCCACAUUGGGACUGAGAUACGGCCCAGGCUCCUACGGGAGGCAGCAGUGGGGAAUAUUGCACAAUGGGCGGAAGCCUGAUGCAGCAACGCCGCGUGCGGGAUGACGGCCUUCGGGUUGUAAACCGCUUUCGCCUGUGACGAAGCGUGAGUGACGGUAAUGGGUAAAGAAGCACCGGCUAACUACGUG